RNAcentral lists this ribosomal RNA (174 nucleotides) under Triticum aestivum (bread wheat). Its description in RNAcentral is "partial small subunit ribosomal RNA". The record is from RNAcentral. Lineage: Eukaryota; Viridiplantae; Streptophyta; Magnoliopsida; Poales; Poaceae.
GUUGAGGUAUAUGAUCUUAUUUUUGAGUUGAAGAUUAUAAGAUUAACUUUGCCAGAUGGUGUAAUGUCUGAUAUGGAGAUUUUCGAGCAUGUCCAAGAAGUUGUAUGUUAUCCUAAUAUCUCCAUUGCCUACCCCAUCUUAUUUACUAUGCACGUGACUGGCUUACAAAGUUGA